This is a ribosomal RNA of Talaromyces islandicus, 103 nucleotides long. It matches the Rfam family "Eukaryotic small subunit ribosomal RNA", at positions 1502 to 1604 of the family's 1831-position model. The record is from Rfam. Lineage: Eukaryota; Fungi; Ascomycota; Eurotiomycetes; Eurotiales; Trichocomaceae.
ACUGACAGGGCCAGCGAGUACAUCACCUUGGCCGAGAGGUCUGGGUAAUCUUGUUAAACCCUGUCGUGCUGGGGAUAGAGCAUUGCAAUUAUUGCUCUUCAAC